Myotis davidii is the source of this 87-nucleotide non-coding RNA. The record is from Rfam. NCBI's taxonomy places the organism in Eukaryota, Metazoa, Chordata, Mammalia, Chiroptera, Vespertilionidae.
AGAGGCCCUCUGUGGCCAGGGCAGAAUGCUUGCCUUGUCACUGUGGCAACAAAGCAAGCAUUCUGCUAGGCCACUCACGCUGCCCAC